CCUCCUACGGGAGGCAGCAGUAGGGAAUCUUCCACAAUGGACGAAACCCUGAUGCAGCGACGCCGCGUGAGCGAUGAAGUAUUUCGGUAUGUAAAGCUCUAUCAGCAGGGAAGAAAAUGACGGUACCUGACUAAGAAGCCCCGGCUAACUACGUGCCAGCAGCCGCGGUAAUACGUAGGGGGCAAGCGUUAUCCGGAUUUACUGGGUGUAAAGGGAGCGUAGACGGCUGUGCAAGCCAGAUGUGAAAGCCCGGGGCUCAACCCCGGGACUGCAUUUGGAACUGCGUGGCUUGGG
This 294-nucleotide ribosomal RNA is filed under the name uncultured bacterium. RNAcentral describes it as "partial 16S ribosomal RNA". It matches the Rfam family "Bacterial small subunit ribosomal RNA", at positions 335 to 646 of the family's 1533-position model. The record is from RNAcentral.